AGUCUGGUGCCAGCAGCCGCGGUAAUUCCAGCUCCAAUAGCGUAUAUUAAAGUUGUUGCAGUUAAAAGCUCGUAGUUGAACCUUGGGCCUGGCUGGGCGGUCCGCCUCACGGCGUGCACUGCUCUGGCUGGGUCUUUCCUUCUGGGGAGCCCCAUGGCCUUCACUGGCUGUGGGGGGAACCAGGACUUUUACUGUGAAAAAAUUAGAGUGUUUAAAGCAGGC
This 222-nucleotide ribosomal RNA is filed under the name Gymnoascus marginosporus. RNAcentral describes it as "partial 18S ribosomal RNA". It matches the Rfam family "Eukaryotic small subunit ribosomal RNA", at positions 558 to 785 of the family's 1831-position model. Lineage: Eukaryota; Fungi; Ascomycota; Eurotiomycetes; Onygenales; Gymnoascaceae. The record is from RNAcentral.